GCCCUAGUAACGGCGAAGUGAAGCGGCAACAGCUCAAAUUUGAAAUCUGGCUCUUUCAGAGUCCGAGUUGUAAUUUGCAGAGGGCGCUUUGGCGUUGGCAGCGGUCCAAGUUCCUUGGAACAGGACGUCACAGAGGGUGAGAAUCCCGUACGUGGUCGCUGGCCUUCGCCGUGUAAAGCCCCUUCGACGAGUCGAGUUGUUUGGGAAUGCAGCUCUAAAUGGGAGGUAAAUUUCUUCUAAAGCUAAAUACUGGCCAGAGACCGAUAGCGCACAAGUAGAGUGAUCGAAAGAUGAAAAGCACUUUGGAAAGAGAGUCAAAUAGCACGUGAAAUUGUUGAAAGGGAAGCGCUUGCAGCCAGACUUGCCUGUAGUUGCUCAUCCGGGCUUUUGCCCGGUGCACUCUUCUGUAGGCAGGCCAGCAUCAGUUUGGACGGUUGGAUAAAGGACUCUGUCACGUACCUCCUUUCGGGGAGGCCUUAUAGGGGAGUCGUCAUGCAACCAGUCUGGACUGAGGUCCGCGCAUCUGCUAGGAUGCUGGCGUAAUGGCUGUAAGCGGCCCGUCUUGAAACACGGACCAAGGAGUCUAACAUCUAUGCGAGUGUUUGGGUGUCAAGCCCGAGCGCGUAAUGAAAGUGAACGGAGGUGGGAUCCCGUAAGGGUGCACCAUCGACCGAUCCUGAUGUCUUCGGAUGGAUUUGAGUAAGAGCAUGGCUGUUGGGACCCGAAAGAUGGUGAACUAUGCUUGAAUAGGGUGAAGCCAGAGGAAACUCUGGUGGAGGCUCGCAGCGGUUCUGACGUGCAAAUCGAUCGUCAAAUUUGGGCAUAGGGGCGAAAGACUAAU
RNAcentral lists this ribosomal RNA (841 nucleotides) under Parapyrenochaeta protearum. RNAcentral's name for it is "partial large subunit ribosomal RNA". It matches the Rfam family "Eukaryotic large subunit ribosomal RNA", at positions 77 to 935 of the family's 3401-position model. Lineage: Eukaryota; Fungi; Ascomycota; Dothideomycetes; Pleosporales; Parapyrenochaetaceae. The record is from RNAcentral.